This 117-nucleotide ribosomal RNA is filed under the name Candidatus Cloacimonadota bacterium. Lineage: Bacteria; Pseudomonadati; Candidatus Cloacimonadota. The record is from RNAcentral.
UUUGGUUGUUAUAGCAGCGUGGAAACACCUGUUCCCAUCCCGAACACAGUAGUUAAGCACGCUUACGCCGAUGGUACUGCACUGGUAACGGUGUGGAAGAGUAGGUCACAGCCAGUU